UCGUCUCUACCAACUUGUGCUGCCGACCAGCCUUUUCCAUGGAGGCUGUCUCUUUCUUUCUCAUUUUUCAUGUUUUUUUCUUAAGAUUUCUCUAAAACUCAACACCCAAACCUUGAAUUUUUGUCAAAAUCACUUGGAAACUUAUUUCCACCUUCAAUUUUCCCCAUUUGCAGCAAGGGCCUAGUUGAGUCUUGAGAGAGAAAGUUGAAGCUAGAGAGAUAAAGUUUCAUUAAGGUAAGAAAUUGUGUUUUUCAUCUUCCCUAGUUUGAUAUUUGGUAUUAAUUACUUUGGGAAAGCUUUGAAAGAUUAUGUAUUAACAUUCUUGUCGUAUUUUUGUGCAUGAAAAUGAGGAAAUAUUGAGAAAUGAAAUCUCAAGCUUGGACACAAAUGAAUUCAAGUACUUGAAAGCUUGAUUUUGAGUAUUUAUGCAUCCAAGAAGUAAGUACCCUUAGAUACUCAUAUUUUAUUAUGAUAACAUGUUUAGGGAAUUUAAGAAUAUGUAUUAUAAAUAUGGAAAUAAGCAUGUGGAUGAAUGUUUGUAAGCUUUCACUAUUUAAAGUUUUGUAAUUGAGUAACUUGAGAACUUGAGUUUUAAUAAACCUUGCUUAUAAAAUGUUUUAUGAACUAAUAUUGUAUAGGGAAAAUUUGGUUGUCAUGGGAGGACUAAUAAACAUGAAUUGGGUAUGUACGAAUAUGUAAGAAAUGUGUAUGCCUAAAAGCUCGCAACUAAAAAAACCCUUAAGCAAACAAAACGCCCUUUUAUCGUUUCGCUGGUGCGGUCGACCUUAUACCAGUUGUUGCCCAACUUUCUUUUUUUGUCCUCCUUUUGUUUUUAAAGUUUUUUUCUUUUACUUUUCUCGUUUGUCUUUCUCUUUCCACCGACAAAAUAAUAUCUUGCCUUUCGCCUUCUAGUUCAUCGUCCUUUUACUAGCGAUUUGAGAAUUUUUUGUUGGCCAACUUGCAGGGGUCCUCCUCCUGUUAGCAGCUCCUGGCUUGGCCUGUGUUUUCUCUUCGAUUGCCCCCAUCUCAGUUUCUUGGUGUCACCUUCACCAUGGAUCCUCGAUGGAUGAAAUUGUUGGAGCCUAAAACUCGUCGCACCAAAUCUCUUGAAUGGUAAUUUAGUAAGGCAUGUACCUAGGCUUUCAUAAGAGUUAAGAAUAUUUUUUAAACUAUCAUGAUUGUAACACUCCUUGCUCGACUCGAUCGCCAAAUCCAAGCUACAGGAUGUCACAACCAUUGUUGGAGCAACGAUAAUCAAUUGCAACAUUUCUAUUCAUUCAACACAAUAUAUCCACAACCGUGAUCAUUACAUCAUUAUCUUAUAAUAUAUUAUCUUAUAUAGGGUUUAUAAGAGCUAAGAAAGCUCUUUUUAUAACCCUGAGACUAUUGGAGGACUAAACUACAAAGUUUCCAAAAUGUUUCGAGCUGGAGUUUUGACUUUAGGGGUACAAUGUUACAACUUCCAGAACAUUUGGUUGACAUCGCAACUUGAGGACUAAAAUGUAAAGUUUCCAAACUUUAUCAAGUUAGCAUUGCGACCUCAAACAGGGGAUGUCACAAUGUUGAAAGAUGGUGUCGCCACAUUCAUGAGGUGGUAUUGUGACUUUGUAGGCAGAAUACAACAAUUUCAAUCCCUUUUGGUUUCAAUAUAUCAUUUCACAUAAUAUGCCAAAUUUUGUGACCUAUAAUGACAAACAUCACAAUAAAAUUUCAUUCCAAUUUCGUCAAAUAUCAUAUCAUGCCAAAUUAUACCAAAUUAAACUUAUCACACUUUUGAAAUCAAAUGCUCAAAUGGUACAAAACUCAUGAUCAAAGUCUAGACAUAUCCAAGCCAUUUACCAACCUUGACAUACCAAGUUACCACAUUUCCAAGUUCAAACACAUAAGGUCUAUGUAACCCUUGAAUUCAAGAAUCCAAAUGGGAUUAGCAUUAUCAAAUUAGACAAAACUAAGCCAUAUGUCAAGCUUAACAUGCAAACAUAACCUUAACCAUAAACACAAUAUUGACAUUCACAUUGAAGAUGAUAAUUUAUAUAACAAAAUGACCCUAUAUACAUGUCACAAUAUUAGGAACCAAAAUGAACAUUUCUACCGUCUUGAUAAUAGUGUGUUAUCUGCACUGAUCCGUCUUGGUAAGUUCCGCAAGUUGGAGAUCUAUAUGUAGAGAGAAUAACAAUAGGUGAACAUUCAAGUGGAAAUUACAACACUUACCUUGUUCAUAGGUGAGCAUUUAACUAACAAAUGUUUUGGUGGAAAUUACAACACUUACCUUGUUCAUAGGUGAGCAUUUAACUAACAAAUGUUUUGGCAUACAUUUAGCUAGAACAUGGCACUUAAUGUCACAACAAAGUGAGCAUAAGAAACAUAAGCAUUCAUGUGCAUCAAACAUUAUAACAUAGCUCAAAGCAUCACAAAUUUGUACCAAGCCACAUCUACUCAUCUCAAAGCCAUAUUCUAUCAUCAAUUCAUAAGUUUAUACCAUUUCAUGUGAAUCAUGUAUCAUAUUAGUUUAUCAAAUUCGAUUCAUUUUAUUUUUCAAUUUUAAGAUUCAAUUUCAAUGUUUCGUCCAAUGAACUCUAGUAAAACGGACUUGAACACAUGGAUAAACUACACCACACUAAGGCCUUGAAGUGCAAAGCUUGUAUGCAUCAAAUGUUUAAACAUAUUCAAAUACAUCCCUCCACCAUACCAAAGUCUUCGUGGAGACAAUGAAUACUCGAUGAUUCGCAACAAAUGCUAGAUCCCGAAAUAACCUAUCAUAAUAUUCAUAUCAUCAACUAUCCCGUACACAAUCGCGUAAUUGAUCCUAUUGGCGUGUCAAUUGUAUCCUAGCCUUUUACUAAGUUCACAUGGGCAUCAAUCAUUCAUAUUUGCAUAUUCAUACCCUAUACUGUCACAUAUCAAUUUUUGAGUUCUGUCGAUUGAAUCUAAACAUGAAUUAUACAUACAUUUAAUGAUCUUUGACAUUCCCCUAGUUACACUAACAUAUAUAAUGUCAAUCAUUUAUCUUAUUUUGUUUCAAUUCAAUCACAUUUACUAGCAAUGUAAGCCAAUUUCCACCAAAACCUUAACUAUGCUCAAACAUAGAUGUAAUGAAAAUAAAUACAAGCAUACCUAUUUAACAAGUAAGGGUAGAAGUUCCACAAGAACUUACCUUUCAAAACACAAAAUGAGUAUGUAACACCUAGUUACCCAAAUUGACUCGAGGGUUUGGAAAACUAGGAUUCAGUUUAACGGAAUAAGAAAUUGUCGGUCUCUGGUAGAAGAUUAGAAAAUUUAGAGACUGAAAUGUGAAUAAUUGGAUUUUAAUUCUGGUUCGGUUGGAAUGGAACUGACAAGAUCCAAAGUGGGAGACAAAAUGAUUAAG
Molecule: long non-coding RNA, 3367 nt
Filed under: Gossypium barbadense (sea-island cotton)
Lineage: Eukaryota; Viridiplantae; Streptophyta; Magnoliopsida; Malvales; Malvaceae
Description: long non-coding RNA (GBAR_LNC015238)
Source: RNAcentral